Small nuclear RNA from Protopterus annectens (West African lungfish), 105 nucleotides. The record is from RefSeq and is a predicted model, not a curated record. Lineage: Eukaryota; Metazoa; Chordata; Ceratodontiformes; Protopteridae.
GUGCUUGUUUUGCCAGCACAUAUACUAAAAUUGGAACAUUACAGAUGAUUAGCAUGGCCCCUGCAUAAGAAUGACACACAAAUUCGUGAAAUUUUAAGUAGUUUU